GAGUAGUCAAUAGGAUGAUUCUACUGAAUACAGAGAGGAUAUAGAAUACUUCUGUGAUUAUGCUUUUGGGAAUGCGGCACUCUUACAUCAAGGAUAGGCUCAUUGCCCUUAUAAGAGAUGUAACAAUAGAGAAAUACUUGAUAAGGAUAUAAUGACUGUCCAUUUAUAUAGGAGUGGAUUUAUGUCCAACUACAAGCAUUGAUGUCUGUA
This 210-nucleotide long non-coding RNA is filed under the name Elaeis guineensis (African oil palm). RNAcentral's name for it is "long non-coding RNA (EGUI_LNC002826)". Lineage: Eukaryota; Viridiplantae; Streptophyta; Magnoliopsida; Arecales; Arecaceae. The record is from RNAcentral.